CCCGCGCCGUAUUAGCUAGUUGGUGGGGUAACGGCCUACCAAGGCGACGAUACGUAGCCGACCUGAGAGGGUGAUCGGCCACACUGGAACUGAGACACGGUCCAGACUCCUACGGGAGGCAGCAGUAGGGAAUCUUCCGCAAUGGGCGAAAGCCUGACGGAGCAACGCCGCGUGAGUGAUGAAGGUCUUCGGAUCGUAAAGCUCUGUUGUUAGGGAAGAACAAAUGUGUAAGUAACUGUGCACAUCUUGACGGUACCUAACCAGAAAGCCACGGCUAACUACGUGCCAGCAGCCGCGGUAAUACGUAGGUGGCAAGCGUUAUCCGGAAUUAUUGGGCGUAAAGCGCGCGUAGGCGGUUUUUUAAGUCUGAUGUGAAAGCCCACGGCUCAACCGUGGAGGGUCAUUGGAAACUGGAAAACUUGAGUGCAGAAGAGGAAAGUGGAAUUCCAUGUGUAGCGGUGAAAUGCGCAGAGAUAUGGAGGAACACCAGUGGCGAAGGCGGCUUUCUGGUCUGCAACUGACGCUGAUGUGCGAAAGCGUGGGGAUCAAACAGGAUUAGAUACCCUGGUAGUCCACGCCGUAAACGAUGAGUGCUAAGUGUUAGGGGGUUUCCGCCCCUUAGUGCUGCAGCUAACGCAUUAAGCACUCCGCCUGGGGAGUACGGUCGCAAGACUGAAACUCAAAGGAAUUGACGGGGACCCGCACAAGCGGUGGAGCAUGUGGUUUAAUUCGAAGCAACGCGAAGAACCUUACCAAAUCUUGACAUCCUUUGACCGCUCUAGAGAUAGAGUUUUCCUCUUCGGAGGACAAAGUGACAGGUGGUGCAUGGUUGUCGUCAGCUCGUGUCGUGAGAUGUUGGGUUAAGUCCCGCAACGAGCGCAACCCUUGAACUUAGUUGCCAUCAUUCAGUUGGGCACUCUAAGUUGACUGCCGGUGACAAACCGGAGGAAGGUGGGGAUGACGUCAAAUCAUCAUGCCCCUUAUGAUUUGGGCUACACACGUGCUACAAUGGACAAUACAAAGGGCAGCGAAACCGCGAGGUCAAGCAAAUCCCAUAAAGUUGUUCUCAGUUCGGAUUGUAGUCUGCAACUCGACUACAUGAAGCUGGAAUCGCUAGUAAUCGUAGAUCAGCAUGCUACGGUGAAUACGUUCCCGGGUCUUGUACACACCGCCCGUCACACCACGAGAGUUUGUAACACCCGAAGCCGGUGGAGUAACCAUUUUGGAGCUAGCCGUCGAAGGUGGGACAAAUGAUUGGGGUGAAGUCGUAACAAGGUAGCCGUAUCGGAAGGUGCGGCUGGAUC
RNAcentral lists this ribosomal RNA (1304 nucleotides) under Staphylococcus pseudintermedius. RNAcentral's name for it is "bacterial SSU rRNA". It matches the Rfam family "Bacterial small subunit ribosomal RNA", at positions 230 to 1524 of the family's 1533-position model. Lineage: Bacteria; Bacillati; Bacillota; Bacilli; Caryophanales; Staphylococcaceae. The record is from RNAcentral.